Molecule: ribosomal RNA, 502 nt
Filed under: Zeugodacus cucumis (cucumber fruit fly)
Lineage: Eukaryota; Metazoa; Arthropoda; Insecta; Diptera; Tephritidae
Description: partial large subunit ribosomal RNA
Source: RNAcentral
CCUGUUUAACAAAAACAUGUCUUUUUGAGUUAAUUUUAAAGUCUGACCUGCCCACUGAAGUUUUUAAAUGGCCGCAGUAUCCUAACUGUGCAAAGGUAGCAUAAUCAUUAGUYUUUUAAUUGAAGGCUGGUAUGAACGGUUGGACGAGGUAUAAGCUGUUUCAUAUAAAUUUAUAAUAGAAUUUUAUAUUUUAGUCAAAAAGCUAAAAUGUUAUUAAAAGACGAGAAGACCCUAUAAAUCUUUAUAUUUUUUUUUGUUUAAAUUUUUUGGAUUUAUUUUAUUUUUAUAAUAAAAAAUAUUUUGUUGGGGUGAUGUUAAAAUUUAAUGAACUUUUAAUUGAAAAAAAUCAUUAAUUUAUGAAUUGUUGAUCCAUUAGUAGUGAUUAUAAGAUUAAGUUACUUUAGGGAUAACAGCGUAAUUUUUUUGGAGAGUUCAUAUCGAUAAAAAAGUUUGCGACCUCGAUGUUGGAUUAAGAUAUAAUUUUAGGUGUAGCCGCUUAAAU